CCUACGGGAGGCAGCAGUGAGGAAUAUUGGUCAAUGGGCGGGAGCCUGAACCAGCCAAGUAGCGUGCGGGAUGAAGGCCCUGCGGAUCGUAAACCUCUUUUGCCCGGGAAUAAAGCCCUCCACUUGUGAAGGUCUGCAGGUACCGGACGAAUAAGGGCCGGCUAAUUCCGUGCCAGCAGCCGCGGUAAUACGGAGGGCGCGAGCGUUAUCCGGAUUCAUUGGGCUUAAAGGGAGCGUAGGCGGCCGGUCAAGUCAGCGGUAAAAUCGAGGGGCUCAACCCCUUCCCGCCGUUGAAACUGGAGGUCUUGAGUGGAAGAGAGGCAGGCGGAAUGCGUGGUGUAGCGGUGAAAUGCAUAGAUAUCACGAGGAACCCCGAUUGCGAAGGUAGCCUGCCGGCGUGCGACUGACGCUGAGGCUCGAAGGCGUGGGUAUCAAACAGGAUUAGAUACCCGUGUAGUC
RNAcentral lists this ribosomal RNA (459 nucleotides) under uncultured bacterium. Its description in RNAcentral is "partial 16S ribosomal RNA". It matches the Rfam family "Bacterial small subunit ribosomal RNA", at positions 338 to 795 of the family's 1533-position model. The record is from RNAcentral.